CGGUGAGGAGGCAACACAAGCCACAGGCAAUGAGGACGUAGGCCAGGAUGUAACACAGGGAGCUGUUGUAGACAUUGUGGAGGGACAUCAGGUGGAAGGAGAGGUGAUGGGAACUGAAGGUUGGUUGGCAGGUUUAGUAGAUGGUAGGGUGCUAUCAGUACACCUACAGAAGCAGAAUGGUGCAGACGAAACCAAGCGUUUACUGUCGUUCUACUACAGUAUGACUGCUAGAAGGAGGAAGGUUCUGUUGUCAUGUUGUCCCACUAUGGUGAUGCAGGUACAUUGUGGUUCCUUCUCUCUUUAUGCUGUCAGACAAAGGGGAAGGGGCGGAGACUUAAGGAGAUGACUGUGUAAAAUCAGGGUGACUCAGUUUACAGUCUGUUUACCAGGUAUUUAUGAGGUUACAUGGUAAAAGUGAUUAUGUCUGACUUAGUGAAUAGAGAAAUACCUAAUGAAACAGCACGGUAACAUUUUUAAGCAAUAUUUAUUUACAAAAAUAAAACUAUUUUUAAAAAAUAUUGCGAAAAUUACAGACUAAUGUAUUUGGAUGAAUAAUAAUCAAAUAUCAGAUACAAAUUAUUUUGCUGUCAAAUAUGGUAUUAUGUUAUUUCUUUCUAAAGAUAUUAAAAACAGUGAUAUUGUCCAGA
Oncorhynchus tshawytscha (Chinook salmon) is the source of this 647-nucleotide long non-coding RNA. RefSeq lists it as uncharacterized. The record is from RefSeq and is a predicted model, not a curated record. The transcript is spliced from 2 exons. Lineage: Eukaryota; Metazoa; Chordata; Actinopteri; Salmoniformes; Salmonidae.